Molecule: ribosomal RNA, 250 nt
Filed under: uncultured bacterium
Lineage: Bacteria
Description: partial 16S ribosomal RNA
Rfam family: Bacterial small subunit ribosomal RNA
Source: RNAcentral
UACAGAGGGUGCGAGCGUUAAUCGGAAUUACUGGGCGUAAAGCGCGCGUAGGUGGAUGACUAAGUCAGCUGUGAAAGCCCUGGGCUUAACCUGGGAACGGCAGUUGAUACUAUUUAUCUAGAGUAGGGUAGAGGGAAGUGGAAUUUCCGGUGUAGCGGUGAAAUGCGUAGAUAUCGGAAGGAACACCAGUGGCGAAGGCGGCUUCCUGGACUCAUACUGACACUGAGGCGCGAAAGCGUGGGUAGCAAAC